Molecule: long non-coding RNA, 711 nt
Organism: Ictalurus punctatus (channel catfish)
Lineage: Eukaryota; Metazoa; Chordata; Actinopteri; Siluriformes; Ictaluridae
Exons: 2
Source: RefSeq, a predicted model, not a curated record
UGCAAAGAAAAACAGAGCUGACCCACAAAAGUUUUGGAACCAAGAUUAACCUCUAUCAAAGUGAUGGAAAGGCCAAAGGAUCUGCUCAUGAUCCAAAACAUACAAGCUCAUCUGUGAAACAUGGUGGAGGUAGUGUCAUGGCUUGGGCUUGGAUAGCUGUUUCUGGAGCAGGCUCACUAAUCUUCAUUGAUGAUGGAACUCAUGAUGAUAACAGCAGAAUGAAUUCAGAAGUUUACAGUGUCGCGACGGGCAGAGAUCCGGCGCACACCAGAGGGAAAACGCUCCUUCUCCGACUGCCGCACCGGCACGACGUGGGCAGCUUCCUGCCGAACAUUCCGCCAGCUGGAGGGACCGCCGCGGCAGGGCGGGGCUGACGCGACUCCGGCCCGCGAUUGGCGGAUCCAACGGGGAAGUCCCACCACUCAGGCGACGACGGAGGAGGAUAAAAGAGCGCGCUUCCGGCCGGGAAGGAGAAGAGAAUAUCGUGGCGUCAAAACGGACUCCGAGUCGUAAGCGCGGACGAGACCGCCGGAUAGUGAGAGUCGCACACACGGAGGACGCCGGCCCGGGAAAACCCCCGCCCCGCCUCGGGAAUCCCGCCUCCGCCACGAGUCGACUCCGCCGGCCGUCACGCCUUCACAAACCCCCGCACUCUUCCAUUUAUCACACGUUCACCUCACCCUAGCCACAAUAAAGCACCGUCUGCAACCA